This is a long non-coding RNA of Cervus elaphus (red deer), 1042 nucleotides long. RefSeq lists it as uncharacterized. The record is from RefSeq and is a predicted model, not a curated record. Lineage: Eukaryota; Metazoa; Chordata; Mammalia; Artiodactyla; Cervidae. The transcript has 3 exons.
CUCCGCGGCGCGUUCCUGCGGGGGUGGCGUGGGCCGCGCCGGGCUCCGAGCUCUCAGCGCCAGCCCCUGCAGACUGCAAGGCUCCGCGCGGCGCCCGGGCGGGCGGCCGGCGCCCACAAGGUGGCAGUGCCGCGCUGCUGGUGUCCUGGCUGGGGGUCUGCACGCGCCGCGCCGGGCGGCCGGAGUCCGCGCUUCCCUCCUGCAGAAGUUUUAAUGAACAUAUAGACACACCCGGACCUGGGUCACCCCCAGGGCCGGCUGGCAGCGCCCCCUCAGAUCUGGGGGUUCCCCUGGGAGAGAUGCACGCCCCGAUGGCGUCUUUGUCCCAACUCAGAGAAUCAGAACUUGGGGCCUGUAACUGCCGCAGGAGUCUGGUCGUGGCUGUGGAGAUGCCAGCGCCCUAAGAAAAGAUGGGGCGUUGUCUGAGGCAUCGCCCUCAGAACCCGAGGCACAUCUGUUCAGACCUUCAGUGCUGACAGCUGUUUUUGAAGGUGAAUAUGAUGGUUGGAACCAUCCAGAAGUCAUCUUGAGACCAGUGAAAAAGCCAGCCCUGAAGAACCUCGGCUGAAGGAGCAGCCCCGCCUGGAACACAGCAGCUUCACCGUGGAGGGAAGAGCAGUGGCGAGACGACCCAUCAGCUUUGAAGGCCCCCGGCCGAGAUGGCACAGGCUCACUCACAUUUCAUUGGCCAAAGGGGAUCAAAUGGUCAAGCCCAAUGUUAGCAGGAACGGAAGAAUAAUUGUUCUGUGGGAACUGGUCUGCAGAGAAGGGCAGUGAAUAUUAUGAACAAAUAAUACAGUGUGUAACAAUGCAAUAUUUUGCUCUCUCCAUUUCUUUGAACCGAAUUUCAAGGGGAAAAUUCAGUGACAGUCUUUUAUUAAUAGAACUGAAAACUUUCAGAUACUGCAAUUCAAAAUGUGAUCCAGUCCCUGAAAAUUAACAUCACACACAUUCCUUUUGAAGGAUAACUUGUGAAAGUCUGAAACGUGCAGUUUGGAAGUGAUUAGCCCAAUUUUACUAGAAGAAAAGAGCAUUUAAUAAA